Molecule: long non-coding RNA, 20134 nt
Filed under: Aquilegia coerulea
Lineage: Eukaryota; Viridiplantae; Streptophyta; Magnoliopsida; Ranunculales; Ranunculaceae
Description: long non-coding RNA (ACOE_LNC001699)
Source: RNAcentral
AGUGUCCCAACCGUAGUCACCAGGGAAUUCACCAGUAAGGUAUGAUGGGGCUUCACCAGAGAAUGGUCCCAAGUAUUUAACUCUGUCAGGACCAUACCAUGGGCUAGAUGAAACUGUCUUUGGCUUUGGUACCGUCUUUCUCAUGGAGAUUCUUCCCUCACCGAGAAGCUCAGAUGAUGAUGGGGAAAGUUUUACCGCCUUUCCAGCAAAAGUAGAAGAAAGUGCCAUUGUUGAAGCAGCCAUUGUAAGUGUAAAAAGAGAAGGUUUUACACUAAAAAUGAAGAUUAAUGCUAUUAGUUUGAGAUGUUUGUAACACUUGUAAGAGUCUGUAUUAAUAGUACUGAAAGGGUAAGAGGUAGUCCUUAUCUUUCAAAGAUCUCUAUAUCUCUUCCUAUUGGCUAGUGUCAUUUUGGAUUGAUUUGUUUCCCUACUUCACAAUUUUCAAACCCUGAGAACCACCCAAAUAUUUUUGUGGCUCCUGAACUUCAGUCCACAUAAUAAUACUUACAAAAACUUUCAAAAUAUCCCAGGUCCACAUAUGAAGACACUCUUGUGGGUGUGUAUCGUCUGCGAAUGGUUGUGUGACAAAUGUCGAAUAAGAUCUUCUUAUAUCUUAGAGAUAUUGUAGGUUGUUUACUGCAACUUGUACAUGCCUUAGGCCAUCAGUGUAUCAGUAUCAAAAUAGUUGUUGUGAUGGGAGCAUAAUGAUGAUAUAAUAGUAAGUAAGGAAAAUAAAUGUGAUCAGGUCUGACGAUUUUCUUUGGGAAAGCAGUCGUUAAUUGAUAAACUAAACUACGGCAAGGGUGGGAAAUAGAUUGUCACAUAUACAUAAGCAGCAAUACUAUGAUCAUGAUCGUGCAUGUACCAUGAUAAACGAAACCAAAGUUUGAAUGUACCAUGAUAAACGAAACCAGAGUUUGAUGAGGAACUUACUUGUGCUUACAGACAGAGUAGGCCUAUCUCAUCAUAUUUCAUGACAAGCUAGUUCCAUUACAUAACAUAGCACAUUUGAAGAAGCCCUUGGUAGACACACUGACUUUUUACAAAAAAAUUCCAGUUCUUUUGAUCUGUCUCUUGAUAUGGCACCCAUUGUGGUGAUGGUCAUUUUCUCCAAUACUGGGGAAUUCUUCAGGAAAAAUUCAAGAAGUUUGACUUCAUUCUCAAAACCUUCAAUACCUUGGAUCUCAACUGAUUUGAGUUUAUAAAACCUGCAGUGAAACAACAAUCCCUCUCCCCAUUUUCCAUCCUUGUUUGAUGAUCUGUAGAGGUCCUGCUAAGAUAGAUUGUCAUGGUUUUCGGUUAAAACAACAUGAGAGCAUGGAACAUAAUAAAUACGAAGAUAUGCUAAACAAAUAUAUUUCAUUGUUUUGUUUAUACCUGAACCUGAGCUUUCUCCAGAACAAGAGUUUCUAUGGAAGGGAACCUUUGAAAUAAUAACUCUGCCAAGCCAUGAAUAUAACCUCUGUUACACCAAUCUGUAACCUUGAUAUAUCUUAUAUUGUCGAAACAUGGCACUUCUUCCCAAGUAAUUCGUAGUUCUGCAGGAGCCUUUUGUAGAAAGGAUUUAUUAGAUUCUAUAGCUAACAAAUAUCAUGGUGACGACGGGAAGUAAACCUGUAGUAAGAAAUUAAUAAAGCAUACCUGAAAAUCAUAAGCUGACAGUGUUAAGGAUUUUACGUUAUAAAGAUGUUUGAUUAUUUGCAGUUUGUUUUCCCAUUCAACAAACCCAUGAGCUUUCGUGUCGACAUGUGCUUUUUGCAACAACGGGAGAUUUUCAAAAGAAUAUAGUGGAUGUGCACGACCUAUCAAAUAGAGUUCUAGUAAGUUUUCAGCACAAAUCGCGAUCCCUUCAACCAACAAAUACUUCAAUCGAGGAGCUUUCAUUGUAAUACUAUUCGAAACUAUCCAAUUAUUCGUGUGUCGAAAAACUUGAACCUAGGUUGUUAUUUCUACACUCAAUCUUACCAUCAAACAAAAUUUGUACUCCUAUAAGUUUCAAGCUCUUGACCUUAUUAACUAAACAUUGCAACAAAGAAAACUUCAGAACAUCUCCUUCAAAAUAAAGCUCUUGAACAUUCUUUUUUAAUACUAUAUUAAUCCAUGCAUGGAUUUCGUUUAUAACACAAAAACAUCGUUAACAAACGAGAUAAAACCAUAACCAUUUCCUUUUAUCCAUGUUUCAUCAUCAAAGUUUAAAGAAAAAACAGAUUUCCAUAAAUACCUCCAUCUUUUUGAAAGAAUGCUAGUUUGAACUACUUGUUUCAUGUCAAGCAUUGAAAGGAUAUCAUGGAGUAAAUUAUUAGAUAAAAGACUAAUCCUAUCUGAACCUGCUGAAUCAGAACUUUUCAUCAUUUUCCUCUCUUUAGGGUUUGAACUUUGAAGGCGUCAAGAACUAGGGUUUCUGAUUAAAUAAGGAAACAAAAUGCUGAUUUAUACUUGUUGAGGGUAUUAUGGUCAAAUACUUUUUCUUGGGCUGAGCUUAAAAAGAUGGAAUGUUUUAUUCUACAAAGCCCAGAAAUAAAAAAAAUUAUGGCAGGAAAUCUUGAUUUACUAAGAAAAAUGUUUUUUUAAAAAAAAAAUACUAAUGGGAUUAUAUAAAAAAUAAUACUGCUGCAGUGCUGCAGUCUAUUGAGUUUCGAUUGAUUCUAUGUUGUAGAUUUUACAGCUGACAGUCUCGCAAUUAAGAUCAAACUAUUGUCGAAAAAAUUCCUAAUGAUUAAUCAUUUUUUUGAAACGCUUCAACAAAAAUAUUACACAAAAGUUCCUUGUGGGAACUGUUAUUUCCUCUUUCAAUAUUAUUAACUUUUAUUGUUAUAAUAAAAAAUGAAGAAUUAAAUUUAUAAUAGCUAACACAUGCCAUGUGGACAAGUGCAGAAUUCCUGAUGGAGAAAGAAUUAAGACUAGGAUAACAAUCAGAGAUUCCUCCUUUUAUUAGGGGUGCUAUUCGAGCCGCUCGAGCCGAGCUAAGGUAUGCUCAAACUCGGCUCGUUACUAACCGAGCCGAGCUCGAGCCGAGCUUAAAAUUAAGAUCGAGCCGAACUAUGAGCUCGAGCUCGGCUCGCGAGCCAAAAGUAAAACUCGAGCUCGGCUCGUUUCGGCUCGCUGGCUCGUUUGGCUCGUUCGGCUCGUAAACAACAAUAUGCAAUAAAAAUAGGGUCAAUUGGCCAAUACACCCCUUUUUUGUGUCACGUUUGGCCAAUACAUCCCAUUAGUCUAAUAUUUGCUUUUAAUUUACCACCUGUUUAACUGUUUGACUCUGUUACAACAAACAGUCAACUGGGUUUAACUAAUAUACUAAUCAACUAAAUAGAAAUGAAAGUAUAAAUUAAUUAACAUGUUAGUGGAGUUGAUUAAUGAUAAUCAGCUGAAAUUUAAGUUGAUUAAUAAGUUAAUCAACAAACAUUUGAGUUAAUUAAUAUGAUAAUCAACUGAUAUUUAAGUUGAUUAAUGUACUAAUCAACUAUUAUUGAGUUGAUUAGCAUGUUAAUCAACUGAUAUUUGAGUUGAUUAAUGUACUAAUCAACUAUUGUUGAGUUGAUUAAUAUACUAAUCAACUAAAUAGAAAUGAAAGUAUAAAUUAAUUAACAUGUUAGUAGAGUUGAUUAAUGAUAAUCAGCUGAAAUUUAAGUUGAUUAAUAAGUUAAUCAACAAACAUUUGAGUUAAUUAAUAUGAUAAUCAACUGAUAUUUAAGUUGAUUAAUGUACUAAUCAACUAUUAUUGAGUUGAUUAGCAUGUUAAUCAACUGAUAUUUGAGUUGAUUAAUGUACUAAUCAACUAUUGUUGAGUUGAUUAAUAUACUAAUCAACUAAAUAGAAAUGAAAGUAUAAAUUAAUUAACAUGUUAGUAGAGUUGAUUAAUGAUAAUCAGCUAAAAUUUAAGUUGAUUAAUAAGUUAAUCAACAAACAUUUGAGUUAAUUAAUAUGAUAAUCAACUGAUAUUUAAGUUGAUUAAUAUUUAAGGGGGUGUAUUGGCCAAUUGACCCAUAAAAAUAUGCACUGUAAACAACAAUAUUUUGGGUGAUUUACGUUGGCACUCUUUACAUUUCAGCACAAACUUCUUGGCGUCUUCUUUCAUUCUUGGCCAAAAAUAUCCUUGGGAGAUUGCCUUAUGAGCUAAUGUUCGACCUCCGGAGUGAUUUCCGCAUUCUCCUUCAUGAAUUUCUUGGAAGAUGAUUUGCCCAUGCUUCGGGAUCAAGCAUCUUAAGAAUAGACCAGUUGCAGAUUUUCUGAAUAGUUUACCUUCAUGGAGUUUAUAUAUAGUGACUUUAUGUAAUAACUGACUGGCUUCCUUUUUGUUGGAUGGUAAUGCACCAGUUUGAAGAUAAUUGAUGAAGGGUUCCAUCCAAGUCCCUUGGAUGUCUACCGGUGUUGUGGCUAGUAGAUCGCAGAUUUGGUGGAUGACUUCUUCUUUUAUUAGGUACGCAGAGUUGCGUACUGACUGCUAUAGUGAGAGCUCGAAGGUCGAUCUGAUUCGAUCUUGGAUGCUCAGAAUGUCACUGAAUCAGCAUGCCUGGUAUCGUCUCGAGGGAUGUNNNNNNNNNNNNNNNNNNNNNNNNNNNNNNNNNNNNNNNNNNNNNNNNNNNNNNNNNNNNNNNNNNNNNNNNNNNNNNNNNNNNNNNNNNNNNNNNNNNNNNNNNNNNNNNNNNNNNNNNNNNNNNNNNNNNNNNNNNNNNNNNNNNNNNNNNNNNNNNNNNNNNNNNNNNNNNNNNNNNNNNNNNNNNNNNNNNNNNNNNNNNNNNNNNNNNNNNNNNNNNNNNNNNNNNNNNNNNNNNNNNNNNNNNNNNNNNNNNNNNNNNNNNNNNNNNNNNNNNNNNNNNNNNNNNNNNNNNNNNNNNNNNNNNNNNNNNNNNNNNNNNNNNNNNNNNNNNNNNNNNNNNNNNNNNNNNNNNNNNNNNNNNNNNNNNNNNNNNNNNNNNNNNNNNNNNNNNNNNNNNNNNNNNNNNNNNNNNNNNNNNNNNNNNNNNNNNNNNNNNNNNNNNNNNNNNNNNNNNNNNNNNNNNNNNNNNNNNNNNNNNNNNNNNNNNNNNNNNNNNNNNNNNNNNNNNNNNNNNNNNNNNNNNNNNNNNNNNNNNNNNNNNNNNNNNNNNNNNNNNNNNNNNNNNNNNNNNNNNNNNNNNNNNNNNNNNNNNNNNNNNNNNNNNNNNNNNNNNNNNNNNNNNNNNNNNNNNNNNNNNNNNNNNNNNNNNNNNNNNNNNNNNNNNNNNUUUGGCCAUUAUAAACAAUUACUUGGGUCAAUUGUCGGUUCAGCUCUAAACCCUAAUAAAAAAAAAAACCGGCUCCAAAACCUAAUUUAUACUAAAAAGUGGUGACCAAAACCUAAAUCACCCCAAUAUUUCACUGUAAACAACAAUAUUUCACUGAUCAAACACACAAUAUGCAAUAAUAUAUCGUAAACAACAAUAUUUCACUGUAAAAAUACACUCUAAUGUCGCAAAGUAACAAAACAAACAUCUUCUAGUUUCUUAGAACACAAUUUCUUCUAGUAGACUGAAACACAAGCAUUAAAACAUAAAGUUAAAACAAACAAUCCAUCAUAAUUCCGCACACCCAAAAGUUAUAACAACCCAUCAUUGCUAACCAUCUUCAUGCCUUGCAUAAGUGAGAUAUCUUCAAGAAUUCCAAACCCUACAAAAACAAUGAUGCCUUGCUAAAUGUUUGCAUUUCACACCCGUCGUCAUGCCGUCUUGAUCUACAACCUCUUCAACAUCAAUCCAUACACCGGAUGUCUUUGCUCGUUUGUGUGCUCUAGAUAGUUGUACUGCUUCUUCUUGAGUUGAAGCUUGCAAGUUGACUUGUUCAUUUUCCAUAUUCGCAGGAGUUGCAGAAGAAGCUUCUAAAUCUAUUGGAUGCUCUUGAUUUGAUGUCGACAUAACCUGACAAAAAAAAAAUAUAUAUUAUACAACAUUUUAAUCAAACCAAACUGUUGCACAAGACAUGAAAUAAUCUAAUAAUGCAUAUAAGGUUCAACAGGUAGUUAAAUAGUGUAAUUACACGAUAGUAUAUACAUUUGAUAUCAAAAUAGUACAACUAUCUGGAGCACAUGUAUAACUGUCUGCAUAUUUCUUGUGUUAUUUCACACAAGCAUCUUAAUAUAUAUGCCACUUUAUCCAAUGUAAAUCAAUCAGCCAUUCAGCCCGAGUCAACUAAACUUGUGGAAGAUAACCGUCAGACUAAUUCACAGAGGACAGAAAUGUGACAUUUGUGUUAGCACUAUUACUACCCAAACAUAACUAGACAAUAUUUGUUGAUGUGAAUAUGAGUGUGUUUACAACUCAGGAUUCAAAGUCUAUCACCUGUUCCGACAUUACUUUGGUCUUUAAAAAUAGAUAAUCAUAAAUUUUUUUUCUUGGGUAUUUCAUUCAAAUUGUUCAGCAUGUUAUAACCUAAGAAAUUCCCAUUAUAAAAAUAAUAAUAAUAAUGUCUUAAACAACUUGAAAAAUCCUGCAGAAAGUAUUUCUAAGUUUAACCAUUGUUUUCUUGCAUACAAAAGAAUACUGCUAGUCCAUUUAAGGUGUAUUGUAUAUACACUUUAAAGACAAUUUCUCAAACAACAUAUAUGCAAUUCAAAUUCAAUUUCAACUUGUAAAGAAAUAAAUAAAGCUUCAAUCUUUAUUUUGAUAAACUUGGAAAAAAACACAAAAAUUCCAUACAGAUCUACAACUAAUUCGAAACUAAAAUUCAGCAAACCAAUUGAAUCAAAAAAUCCUAAUUAAUUAACUCAACUCACCUUGAGCAGACGCGAUGGAGAUCGACUGAUGGAGAAAAAAAAAACUAGAAUCGAUUGAUCAAAAGGAGAUCGACUGAUGGAGAAAUCAAAAGUGUAGAGAGAGUUGAGAUCGACUGAUCGAGAGAUAAAGUGAAGAGAGAGAGAGAAAAAAAAAAGUGGAGUGAUAGUGUGAUACUGAUGGUUGGCUGGUUGCAAGUGAUGGAGAUAGAAGCCCAAUUGCCCAAGCCCAUAGUUACCAUAAGCCCAACCGCCCAAGCCCAUAGUAAACGAGUUGCUCGGCUCGGCUCGUUUAGAGCUCGAGCUCGGCUCGGGCUCGUGACGAGCUCAAAAACCGGCUCGAACUCGGCUCGUUUAGAUAAAUGAGCGAGCCGAGCCCGAGCCGAGCCCGAGCCGCUCUGCUCAGAUAGCAGCCCUACCUUUUAUCCUGUUUUCGGUUCUUCAAUUUCCUCUAACACCUGUUCUUCAUCCUUGUUGUUGGAUGAUCUGUACAUGUCCUGAUAGCAAGAUAGCUAAAGACGAUAAGACGAUGAUUCUUAUAAGAUGGUCAUAUAUAUAUAUAAACAUUCAUUCCAUUAUGGGAGUUUGUGACUUGUGUUUGUCGGCUUAGAUUUAUUGAAUCUUCGCCGAGGUGGAGAAUUGUUGGAAUUUUUUGGAUGAAGGGAACUGUUUUGUUCAGGAACGUACGUACGCUGUUAGGACGUUCGUACGUUCCAUUCGACAGACGACUUUGCGGGGAAGGAACGUACGUACGUAGUUAGGGCGUACGUACGUCCCGUAUGACAGAUGACUUCUCCGUGUGGCUGAACGUACGAACGUCCAUUCGACGUACGUACGUCCUCCCUUGGUUUUGUGUAUAUGGGCCUGUUUAAGCCCAUUUCGUGUGUGUUUGUAUGGCUAUGUUAUAAAGCCAAUUGAGAAGGUUGGAAAACCUAAUCUUCAUGUGAGAGAGAUUGUGAGAAGCCAUUGGUGAGUUUGAGAGAACUCUUGUGAGGAAGAACACUUUGGUUUCUUCGAGAGGGCUUGUAUAAUCGUCUCUAUUUGGAAGAUUGUUGUUUUGGUCGUGGACGUAGGCAAUAUUUGCCGAACCACGUAAAUCUUGUGUUUUGUUUGUUUUGUUUUUGUUUUGUUUGAUUCACACACUAUUUCAAUCUUGGGUAUUGGUGCAUAAGCUUCCGCUGCGCACAACAAGUGGCAUCAGAGCUGCAGGCUAGAUCUUGUUCUUGAAAUCUCCCAAAAUUCAAAUGAAUAGAGUUGUUUGAUUGACUAACUUGACAACAUCCAACUUAAUUUCACAUAAUUUUUUUAUAUCCUGAGAUAUAUUUCUUAAUUAAAUAUCACCAUUAACAUUGGUUUUAAGUUUCACCUUUAGUUAAAUUCUAUCAAAAAGAGAGAUGUAGAUGAACUUGAAAUUUUCUUGCUUGAGCAAACAAAUUUCUGGUUACGAGUUCUCCGUCCGACCGUCCACAAGGAGAAGAACCAAGAACCGUUGCUAGAAUUUGUUAUGUUAGAUUGGGAUUUGGGUGUAUUUUUUUAUGAAAAAAAAAACAAAAAAAUUAGGUGUAUUUACUAAUGGGUGGGUUUACCCGAUUCCCCUUUACUUUAAAGUUACUCAUCAAUUUCCUCCACCAUCUCAUUUAAUACAAUAGCAACUGAAAAAUGUCAUCAUGAAAUGACAAAUCUUAGGGUCUGUUUGAUUCGAGUCCGGGAAAUAGAUUUUCCGGGAAAUUUCAAUUUCUCAUGUUUGAUUAAAUGGAAAAUAAGCGGUAAAUAUUUAAAACGACAUGAUAAGUUAAAAUGUUGGGACAAAUUGGAGCUCAAUUUUGUCGAACUCUCACUACAAACAUAUUUAAAUGAUUUUCCAAAAAAAUUCUUGAUCAAUGUAGCAUUAUAACUAUUUUAUCAAAAUUUUAUUUCCCGAAUAUUUGCACAUGGUAUAUCUAUUUCCCGGCAAACUCUUUUACCGCCUGAAUCAAACAGACCCUUAGACCAUAAAAAUUGAUAAGCAACUUUCAGUAACUAUCUCGUCCUCUUUAUAUAGUUAAACCUCUAUAAAUUAAUAGCCUUGGACCACUAAAAUUUUAUCAACACAGAGAUAUCAAUGUACAGAUAAAUUAAUAAAUAUUAAUUUACAAAGAUAUUUUAAUUUUUUCAAUUUAAAAACGAAUAUUGUAGAUUUGUGGUACUACUUAUAUUAUAUACAUCUUGAAGUUCGAAGUUCAAUGAAGUUUAUUGGGACCACUUAACGCUUUAAUAAAUUAUAGUAAAUAUAAAGAGUCAACUAGUAACACAAUUCCAGAUUUUUUUUUUAACACAUUACAUUUAAAGAUGAAAUUCAAUUAUAUUUAAACUUCAACAAAAAAAAUACUAGUAUUUAUUAAUUUUAAAAAACUUAACAUGUAGUUGCAUUAUUAUGUUGUUUAUAAGUAAUUAUUAACUAAUAAAACUAAUGGAACCUAUACAAUAUCAAAACAUAUUAUCUUAUAUUUUUGUUGAAAUUAUUAAUUAGCAUAUAGAUCCUAGGUCGGAUCAGAAAAUUCUAUUUUUAUCAAUUUACCGAGUAUUAAUUUAAAGAGGUUCUAUUGUAGAGAAUUUAUUUGCUCACUAGGGUUUUGCUCACCACACUCUCCAUCCAACCACACUCUCCAUCCAGCUUAUAUAAUUACACAUGUCCCAAAAAUCUUUAAAAAAUUUUGUUUCGUAACUACCAUUAAUUAAUGUUCCUGAUUUGCCCUUAGUUGAAUUACAAAAAUUACUAGUACAAUAAAUUAACAGUUCCACUACGUACCCUUGAUAUGUGGGAUUUUUUUUUCUCUCUUCAAAUCUUGAAUCACGUUUUUUCUUCUUCUACCCCAAUGAAAUCCAAAAAAGUAAAAAAAAAAAAAAAAAAAAUCUCUCUAUGAAUUAGUAUUAAAAAGAGCUAUAAGUCAUAACUCUUUUAAUGAAUUUUGAUUGUUAAUUUUAUAUUAAUGGAUUUAAGGGUUGGUAAUCUCUUUCGGUUCAUGAUAAUUUUAUAUUAAUGGAUACAAGUUAAAUUAGUUAAACAUUGCACCUGAAUUGAUAAUGGCCAUGGAAGAAUGAAAACAUUAAUAUAUAUUUUAGUAUGGUUCAUAUUUUUUUUUCUUCUGGGGCUAGUUAUGCUUGAAGUGGAGUGAGAACGAGUUCAUAUAUGGUAGAACUUGAAGAACUUUUGUCAAAUUCAACAAAAUAUACACAUGUUAAAAUCUUCCUUUCAUCCUUUGAAUAUAUUGCAGUGAAUAUGGUGAAAAAAUGUGCCAAACAAUGUUCAGUAACUUAGGAAGAAAUUAAAGAAGAUGAUCAGAGAAUAGGAGACCAACCAGGAGAGAGAAAAAAAUAUAUGAUAUCCCACUUUGUGUUUUAAAAAUUCAAAAUUGUAUUCUAUUAGGUAAGGGCAAAUUAGGAAGCUAAAGUAAUAGGUAGUUCAGGGGUGUCAAUGGGUCGGUUUCGGUUGGGUUUGACCGGUUUCGGUUCGGGUUUGACUUUUUGCGGGUUUUGGAGGUUUUAGAGUCAUAUUAUAAAAACCCAAAACCUAAUGGUUAAAAACUUUGGAUUUUUAACGGUUUUGGUUUCAGGUUUUUUGAAAUUACUAUAUAGAAUAUUAAAAUUGUUAAAUUUUAAUAUAAACUAAACCAAAAAAACACAAAUUUUAAAUUAUCAAUAAAACUUAAAUUAUAUAAUUGAAUAUUUCUAUAAAUAAGAUGGUCGUCAAUGAAACAUAUGAAGUAGUUUCAUGGUUCAUAAUCCUAAAGUAAAAUAAUACGGUAGUUGUCAUACGAACUUAUAUACAACCGAAUGUACGGAAAUAUAAAAAAUGAAAUUUCAAUCCAAAACAAAUUAAAAUUUAUACUGUGAGGACUUUCGGAACAUUAUAUAUAUGAACAUACUUACACAGAUAUCGCAUAUAUUUAAUAAAUUGACAAAUUCUUCCGAAGAAAAAUAUAGUAUUUAUGUUCUUACGUAUUUUUUAAUUAAAUUUUUUUUGUCAAAUGUACCAAAUAAAGACUAAUGUAAAUUUUAAGUUUAAUUAAUAAAAUCAUCUAGUUAGUGUAUUUAAUUUCACUAUUAAUAUUAUAUAUAUAAAAAAUAUUAAUUUUUUAAAUAAAAUUAAUCGGUUUCAGGUUUUUCGUUAAAAACUCAUAAAACCGCUACAAAAAAACUAUCGGUUUUGGAUUCUAUCGGUUCGGUUUUCAAAAUGUCCAUCUUAUUUUUUUUCACAAUUUUAAAAUCCAAAACCGCUAUAAUUGGUUUCGGUUUCGGUUAAUCGGCCAACCAUUGACACCCCCUGGUUAUGAUCAAAUUUCUACCAGAUUUUAGAACCAUGUUUAAUCAUCUUAGAGGGUGGGGACUGGUGAGCAAACGGGUGGUGAGCACAAAAUUUACAUAACUACAUACAUCUAAUCUCUUUAUUUCUCUCUUAAUCCGAACCGAAUACGUGUCAUCAUACUAACAACAGUAGUACUUCACUUCCUUGCUUUCCCCAUUCUCUCUCUGUAUCAACUAAAAAGUCCAAACAAAAGGCGAAUGAGCCUGUGGCUCAAUGGUAGCACCCCUCUCACAAAGUGGAGAGGUUGUGGGUUCGAAACACGUCAACAAUUGAUUGUUGAUAUAAGCUUCCACACGUAAUUUAAAAGGGUAGGGGUUCGACACAUCACUUUCUAUGCUGCUUAUGGACUUUCAGAAUGCCUUCAACCUUGUUGAUCAGUCUGCUAUGCUACGGGAGGUACGCAGUCAUUGUCCAUCUAUUGCUCUAUGGGUCAAAUACCUCUAUUGCCAACCUGCUCGUUGUAUCUAGGGUCUACUCAUAUUUGGUCAGCAACAGGGAUACAGCUGUUAGAAUUGUGGCCCAAUAACCAUUUGUUUAAGUCUAAAUUAAAUUGAUAUAAUCUUUUGGCUUUCCACAUUACAAUGUAAGUUGUAAUAAUUUAAGUAGUAUUAUUAGUAGUGUUCUUUAUUGUGAAGAACUCAAAGGUCUUGAUGGAAGACUAUAUAAGUACUACACUCCAUAGCUCCCUCUCAAUGCUCAAUCUCUACAAUAUAGGAACUAUCGCCUAGGUAGAUUUAAGGAGAAAUUGAGAGAAGUUAAGCUAUGGUUUUAUUGAAUGUAGAAGAUAUAAAAGUAUGUAUAUUUUGUAUAUUUUUACAUUAUUUUAUUUUGUGAUCGACCAAUACCUUAUACAUAUUCGAUCCUGGACAUUUUGUGUAAUCUAAGUUUAUAAGUAUUAGAUUUUAGUUCUUUCAUUUAGUAUAAUUUCAUUCUUUCAUUUGGUAUCAGUCGCCUCAAAAUGCAUAAUGGUUUUGGUUCAAUAUCAUAGGUUAUUUGAUUUUCUUUUAUUCUUCUCAUUUCCAAAAAUCUCAUAUUCAAUCUUACAAUUUCUUAGUCAUAUGAAUAUUGAUAUAGGAUUUAUAAUUUGAGUUUUGCUAAUUGAUAAUCAUUUUUUCAAUCACUUGGAAAGUUAUUUACAAAAUUUUGUUAGAUAUUUCUUUGUGAGAAAAUCAAGAAAAUACAUACCAAUUUUAUUUAAUUCCGCAUAUUAGUGAUUCCUGGGUAUUAUUGAAUUAAAUCGAACAUCCAGUAAUACUAUUAUUCUUAUUCUAUUGAGAUAUGUUAGAUACUUUUAUUUUUUUUGUUAUUAAAUCCUUGUUGCUUUUGUACCACAAUUUCUUUUCUAUGAACAAUUAACAAUGCAAUAAUUUUAGUUAGGCAUCAAUAUUUGGUAUUCUCAUAUAUAUGAAAUUAUAUGAUCAAUUUCUAUAUUUUUCGAGCAUUGUUAGUCGCCAAAGCGACCUAUGCUCAUUUUUAAUUAUAGUUAUUGGAUCAUAUAAUGUUUAUUGUAUUUUUUGGUGGGAUGCAUAAUGAUGUCUUAAUUUUGAGAAUUGUGAUCUUAGGUAGUUUUGGAUAUUUUAUUACAGUAAUCACGUAUUGUACGGAUAACAUAAGGUUUGAUUAUAUUUUCAUAGCAGAAAUAUAGACUUUUAUGAGUCUAAUUUAAUUUUACCAGAUUUUUAAAGUAUAUUGGGUGUAUUGUUAGUCGCCAAAGUGGCCUAUACAUUUAAUAUAGAUUUGAGUUAAUUUGGUAAGUUAUUUGAUAUCAAUUGCUUAACACCUCAUUUCAUAUAUAUGAUUGUCUUUGACCCAAAGGUUAUUUGUACAAUUAUUUGGAGGUGGAAUAAAGUGAUAAAUAUUAAUCUUAAUUAGCUUGAAACUAUUAGCCUAAAGGCAUGGAAUUGAACUAGUUGAGAGAGUUGAAUUAUCAUUCUUAUUCAUAUUUAAGAUUUAUUUGUAGAGUGAAUCAAUAGCAAACUAAUUCUCGAACCCAAAGGUAGGUUUUAGUGUUGCACUCGAUUACUCAUUAGCCUUAGACUUAAACUUUGUGCGAGAAACAUGCUGAAAACUAUUAGUAUUAAGUCUAGUCUCAAUAGACGGGGUAGGCAAAAGAGCGGGCAAACUAGAUUUUACAGAAGUAGUCACACCAGAUGGACUACUAGAACAAGCAAUAAGAGAGUUAAUUCUAGUUUUGUCCAAAACCUUCUCUAAAGCUGCAAUUUUACAUAACAAGUCAAGUUUUUCUUUUUCAAAUAAUUGAGAAAUAGAAAUUGCAUCAUCUGCAGCGUAAGAAAUUUGUUUUUCAAGAGUCUCAACUUUAUCCUGCAAAGAAAGAUUAGCCUUUUUCCAAAUUUUCAAUUUUGGAUUCAUAAACUUCCCCUUGAAGCAUAUAGUCUUCUGCACAAUGUCUGAGUCGUUGUUCUAGAGAAUCAACCUUAGUCUGCAAAACACCAUUAUCUUCAAAACAAAAAUUAUCAGAAAUAGUAGACAAAUUACAAUUAGCUUUAUUGAACUUUUCCUGCAAAUCAGUAUUAGCUUUUUGUAACCUUUCACAUUCUUUUGCAAAAAGCCUGUAAAGAAGAGCCCAAUCACUAUUGCUAACAACAUACAAAUUAUCAUCUUUUUCAAAAUCAGAUUUUGGUUUUGUGGAUUUGGACGAUUUACCAAUAAAAUUAUUAUAAACAGACUCAUUAACCAUUAUUGCACUCAUAGGAUCUACGCGUGUGCCAUUACGCUCCAUAACAAGCGCCCCGCUCUGAUACCAAUUGAAAAACCAAAUAUAUGUGCAAUAUAACAAUAGUGAAGCAAACAAUAAAGCAGUAAACAAGUAAAGAACACACGAUAUUUUUAACGUGGUAAAACCCAAUAUGGGAAACGUCCACGGUUGUCCUCGUGACAACAAAUAAAUCCACUAGAUGAAAAGAGAUGUACAAACCUAUCAACUACCUGCAAUCACUGCGAGUUGACACUACCGGUUAUCUCUAACACCUUGACUUCACCAGAGUACCUUGAUGUACGCACAAGACACUCAACUUCUUGAUGAACAUUCAAGAAGACUCGAAGCCGAUCUAUGUAACAAGCUUACACCAGAGUUCCUUGAUGAACACACAAGGAUACUCGAUUUCUUGAUGAACACACAAGUGAAACCGGCACUCGGUUGUUUGACAUUAAUUUUGUGAUAUUGGAUGUCCAUGGUUAUCUCGCCUUGAGUUCAUUGUUAGGAAAACCUCGUUGUACGCGCGUCAUCCCGAGUCUUUGUCUUCGCGUUAAGUGUAUCAAAAGUCUGUUUUUGGGUUUAGGACGUACGUACCUAGUUAGGGCGUACGUACGUCAUGUUAGGCAGCAAACAUGUUUUGGUCAGGACGUACGUACCUAGUUAGGGCGUUCGUACGUCCAAGUAGGCAGCGAACUAUUUACGUCUCAGGACGUACGUACGCUGUUUCGACGUACGUACGUCCAAUAUGUGUUUUGUCUAUUUCGGCCCAUUUUCUCUUGUUUCAAACCCUAGGUUAUAAAUAGGUCGUUGGUGUUAUGUGAAAGGCAAGAGUUCCAACCUAGCCUCCAUAGAACCCUAGUUUGUUUGUUGGCUCUUCCACAAAGAUCAUCUUCUUCCUUAAUUGAUCUUUGUGUACUUCUAUCUUCUAUCCUUCCCCAAUUCAUCUUCCUAUCAUUGUUUAUAUUGAUUUAGCUUCGAGUCUUCUUGUGUGUUCAUCAAGAAGUCGAGUAUCCUUGUGUGUUCAUCAAAGAACUCUGGUGUAAGCUUGUUUCAUAGUUCGGCUUCGAGUCUUCUUGUGUGUUCAUCAAGAAGUCGAGUAUCCUUGUGUGUUCAUCAAGGAACUCUGGUGUAAGCUUGUUUCAUAGUUCGGCUUCGAGUCUUCUUGUGUGUUCAUCAAGAAGUCGAGUGUCUUGUGCGUACAUCAAGGUGCUCUGGUGAAGUCAAGGUGUUAGAGAUAACCAGGAGUGUCAACUCGCAGUGAUUGCAGGUAAUUGAUAGGUUUGUAAAUCUCUUUUCAUCUAGUGGAUUUAUUUGUUGUCGCGAGGACAACCGUGGACGUUUCCCAUAUUGGGUUUUACCACGUUAAAAAUAUUGUGUGUUCUUUAUUUGUUUGUCGUUUCAUUAUUUGCCUUAUUAUUGUUAUAUUGCACAUAUAUUGGGUUCUCAACAAGAAGACUCGAAGCUAAAUCACUAUUCAAUAAAGAAAAAAAAGAUGAAUGGGGAAGAAGAAGAUGAGUUCAAUCACCAAAACAACCUAAACCAAAACCUAAACAAACUCCAAGACUAGAGAUGAAUUGGACGGCCAAAGAACUGGUUUGUUCUUUGGUAAAAAACCCUAUAUAUAGUUAGGGUUUGAAACAAGAGAAAAUGGGCCGAAAUUGACAGAUUUCAUAUUGGACGUACGUACGUCGAAACAGCGUACGUACGUCAAGAGACGUAAAUAGUUCGCUGCCUACUUGGACGUACGAACGCCCUAACUAGGUACGUACGUCCAAAACACAAAAGUUUGUUGCUGCCUAACAAGACGUACGUACGCCCUAACUCGGUACGUACGUCCUAUACCAAACAUGACUUAGACAAACUUGACGCGAAGAGAAGGACUAGGGACGAUGCGCGUACAACGAGGUUUUCCUAACAAUGAACCCAAGGCGAGAUAACCGAGAUAACUAAUGUCACUAAAUUAAUGUCAAAUAACCGAGUGCCGGUUUCAAUUCUUACCUUCACUAAAGCUUUACACCUGCUUUCUGGGUAUGCUAUAUGGAAGCAUGGGAGUUGUUCAUUGACAAAGUUGGUUCUGAUGUAAUGUCAUCUCCUGAAAUAGAAACAACUGCAAAGAACAUCACUGAAGAAUGUGGAGGUUUGCCACUUGCAAUCAUAACAGUAGGACGAGCGAUGAGGAAAGUUAACAACAUCAGAAUCUGAGAAAUGCAUUAGAAAAGCUGAAAAAUUCAAGAGCAAAGAUUGAAGGCGUGGAAGAUGAUGUCUUUGCAUGUCUGAAGUUUGAAGAACUAGUAGACUAGUAGAGUACUGUAGGAGUACAGCGCAACAAUCUUCAUUCUUUGACCAUAUGUGCAAUCUUCACUAUAUGUCCUUGCGUUAUUGUAAAGUCAAAAAGCUCAAAGAAUUAAGGAUAUUGGUAGUUUGACAAGUCUAAGACAUCUUGACCUCUCUUAUACUGAAAAGUGCAGAAGUUCACUGGUAAACUAAUACCAAAGUUGCAGCAGCAUUGCAGAAAACCUAUCAAUGUUUAGCAGAAGUUCCCUGGUAAACUAAUACCAAAGUCUACCUGAGUUGACAAAUAUUUAUAGCAGAGUAUUGAUAUGUAAUUCACUUACCACACAAUCUUAUAAAGGAAGUAAAAAAUUGUGGGAUGCUUUGGAAUGGACAAUGAUGCUUUGCAGAAAACAUGGAAGAGGAUGAUGCAGUACUAGUAGGAGAGAUAGAGAUGGAAAUGAAGAUGAUGCUGAAGAAGACGAUGACAUUGAUGAGGAUACAUUUGAAAUUGCAAGAUAGUACAUCUGGCAUCACAGGACCUCUAUUCCAAGAAAAUGAAUUUGCAUAAAACAUAACAUACACAGAAUUUUACAACAUUUGCCUAAUCUACCAAAAAAAAGUUGCGAAAUGAGUCUUGGUGGUUUCAUUCUCCCACUCUAAUCCAUUCCACCACUCAGCCUCUCCUUCAAUCUUCUUGAGUGUGUUCUUAGCACUGUUUGAGUCAAGUGGUAGCCUCGUCAGCUUUGGGCAAUAUGUCACAUCUAUAGUUUCCAAGGAUGGGAAAGACAAUGCAUUGGUAUGGCUACAUAUGGACUGGAGAUUGGGCAAAUUAAAUAAUUCCAACCUUUUGAGAUUUGAAAAAGUAGUAUUUUCAUCACACGGAUAUCCUCCUCCUCCUGAUUCCUCAGAAGAAGAUAUUAUGUCUUGAAGACUACUACAAUCACAUAUAUAUAGUGCUUGUAGAUUUGGAAUGAGAAGAAGCCAUGUAAGAUCCACCAUUGCGUGACACCCAUCAAGAUUUACCCAAUGAAGUUUUCUGAAAUGUGCACAAUGGAGAUUCCUUGCAUCCCAUGAGAUAAUUAAUUUGGGGAGAUUAUAGAGGAACAUUUUCUCCAAGCUUUCAAAUAACCCAAUCUCUGGGUCAUCAUCAUUUGUGAUGCAAUCAAAUUUCCACUCUUUGAUCUCUGUACAGUUAAGAAUGUGAAGAAAUUGCAGUUUUUGAAGACGUCCAAGAGAUAAAUGUGAUGAUGAUGAUGCUGAAAGUGUGGGUAAGGUAGUCUCUUUGCAAUUUUCAAUACCCAAAUACUUUAGACAAUUACACAAGCGGGGGUUGCUGAGUAACCUCUCAAGAUCUUUGAAAUCUGAAAUAGAGAUUCUCAGAUAUUUCAAUUUGUUCAAGCAUCUCAAUUCUUCAAAUUCGAAAAAUUCCUCUGAAGAAUCAUCAGAUUUUAAAACAUGCAACUCCAAAAACUCCAAAUUCGAAAAAUACAUUAUCAUUCCUCGUGGAAUUGAAACCUCUCUUCCAAGCAAACAAAAACAAAGGACUUUCAACUUUGUUAAAUUCCCCAUCUCGGAAGGCAAAUUUGUGAUAUUUGUAUAAUUAAGAUUAAGGUAUUUCAACUCAGACAAUUCACAAAUGCUUGUGGGUAGUUUUGUGAUUUUACUGAAUGAUAGAUCUAAGAACUUAAGAUUGGGCAUAGAAAGGAAAAAGUCGUCAUUUAUAUGGUUUAAAUCUCUAUUAUCGGGAGCAAAGAAGGUUGAAAGGUUUGGGCAGCUUGGUAAUUUUUCAAGAUGAGUGAUUCCAGUAUACAUCAAGGAUAUUGUUUCCACCACUGUAGGAUGUAAAUCAAUUAUGGGGAAUUUUUUCAAGUUGUAACCUGACUUCACAAUAACCUUACCUUUGUCUCUCCCAGCGAUCCAUAAAGCUAAUUCUCUAAUCACAUCAUGCAUUUUCACCUUAUCUUCAUUAUCCCCGUUCUCUAACAAACAUGUACGCUUUAGGGUGCCAAUGAUGCCAUGACCGAUAUUAAAAGCUUCUUCAAAAUCCUCAAAACCACCAAUAUACCCCAUCCCAAUCCAUUUGUAUAUUAAAUCGUCUUUUGAAAUUGAAUAGUCUUCUGGAUACAAGGCACAAAACAAGAAACAUACCUGAUCAAUAGGACGUGGUAACUUAUCGUAGCUGAACUUCAGAAGAUGAAACACACGCUUUUCGAUAUCUGGAAACUUUGCCACAGACUUGUUCAAUUCUGAGAUGGCAAGUUUCCACUCGCGAGGAUUCAUCUUGCUUGCCAUGGACGCACCGAUGGUGAUGAGCACUAAUGGUAGUCCAUGACAUUUUUCUGCAACUGUUUCAGCCAACUUUGGAAUCUGUGGAUCAGCAUCAAGGGUCUGUUGUCCAACUUUUUUUUGAAAUAAGACCCAUGAUUGUUCCUUGUUCAAGGAUUUCACUUCAAUUGUUUUGUCUGUUCCCAUGGCGCCACAUACAUCUAAUGACCGUGUUGAAAGAACAAUUUUAGACUUGUUUUCAACACUAGGAAGAGGUAUUCCUAUACUUAGCAGAUCAAGUUCUUUCCAUACAUCGUCGAGCAAUAUCAAAAAUUUCUUCUUUUUCAAUGCAUUAAGAAUGUGAUUGGCUCGCGAACAUAAAAGAACACUAUCAGACCAUGAAUUCAAUCCCAAUCUCUCUCGAAUGGUUUCUUGAACAGCUCCCAUAUUUACCUCCCUCGAUAUAAGCACCCAUAUGACGACAUCAAAGUCAUUGUUUCUUUUCAGGAACUCAUUGUUGAUUUUCUUUAAAAGGGUAGUCUUCCCAACUCCACCGACUCCAUACAAUCCCAAGACUUGAAUAUCAUCUUUUCGAAGGAUACUUAGUGCAUUUUCAAAUUCAGAAACCAAGCCAACCGUAAAGUUUUCUGGCAACUCUUGAACUGAAGGGCAAGGUGGGUUCUCAGCCACAAUUUCGAAGACUCCAUCACGUUUUAGUUCUUCCACAAGUAGUAACUUCUUUACCACCUUUUUGCCCAACUUGUAGCUACUCCAACAAUUCUUAGGACAACAACCAUUGAGGCACCUUCUCUCAAGUUGUUGUGUCCCUUCAAGUAUGGUUCGGUCCACCUCAGGUCGGCUGUCUUCCACUCUUUUCAUCCAUCUGUCCACCUGAUUAGUGCGUUUUUUUAGCCCCUCCUCUUCAACGAUGACCUUAUUGUUGACGUCGCUCUUAAGCUCAUUCAGUUGAGUCAUUUCUUUCUUGAGCUGAUCGAGAUUUUCUUGAAGUGCACAGAGGUAAUUGAGAUGCUUUGUACUACAAUGCAUUACACGAGAUACAAUAUCAAUAAUGGGACUAACAAAAUCGGCCAUGGUUCUUUAGGCACAAUUUCAGUGAGGGGCUUGGUGUAUUUUUUGCUUCAAAGAGGAACAACAGCUUGGUGAAAUGAAAACUUGAAAGUUGAAAGAAGAUAGAGAAAUUAAUGUCUAGGAACUACUAUAGCAGGCCAAAUCAAUUAUAUAAUCAACUUGAUGGAAUAAAUGUAAAGCAGAGCAGAGGUCCAAGGGUAGUAUGCCGAACACGAGGGAGUGGGUCAUUCCCACAUGCUUUUGUCUGAUGAUAGAAAAUAAGUGGUUGAGUUUUGAAAAAGAAAUGUCCUGAUGCAGUUAUGGAAAUGUAGAGGUCUCUAGUUUUAAAAAAAGUAAUAGUUGUAGAAUUCUUGAGUCUUCAUUUAACAAUGCAGUGUCCCAACCGUAGUCACCAGGGAAUUCACCAGUAAGGUAUGAUGGGGCUUCACCAGAGAAUGGUCCCAAGUAUUUAACUCUGUCAGGACCAUACCAUGGGCUAGAUGAGACUGUCUUUGGCUUUGGUACAGUCUUUCUCAUGGAGAUUCUUCCCUCACCGAGAAGCUCAGAUGAUGAUGGGGAAAGUUUUACCGCCUUUCCAGCAAAAGUAGAAGAAAGUGCCAUUGUUGAAGCAGCCAUUGUAAGUGUAAAAAGAGAAGGUUUUACACUAAAAAUGAAGAUUAAUGCUAUUAGUUUGAGAUGUUUGUAACACUUGUAAGAGUCUGUAUUAAUAGUACUGAAAGGG